CAUCCGGCCCGUCCCCACGUGUGAGCGGCGGGGCGAGAGGCGGCGGAGAUGUCGGUGUCGGUGGCCGCGGGCAACCUGCCCAUGCGGCUGCUGCACAGGAAGAUCCACAAGCGCAACCUGAAGCUGCGGCAGCGCAACCUGAAGCAGCGGGAGGCGGAGGGGACAGCCGAGGCGGCAUCGCCCGCACCCCCGGAGGAGGAGGAGGAGGUGGAGGAGGCGGCCGGAGCGGCCUCGGACGGUGCCGGUCCCGCAGAUGCUGCCGGUCCCCACGGCGGGGAGGAGGAGAAGAAGAGGAAGAAGAAGAAGAAGAAGAGGAAAGCGGCGGCUAAUGCGGAAAGCGAUACGGCAAGUAAAAAAGUGAAAACUGAAGAAAAUGGGUCUGCGGAGGCAGAAGAUGGAGAUAAGGAGGAUUCCGGAGAGAAAGAAGGGGAAGAGGAGGAGGGGGAGGAGGAUGAAGUGCCCAGUUUACCACUAGGUGUAACAGGUGCUUUUGAAGACAAUUCUUUUACUUCCCUGGAUGGUCUUGUCAGUGAGAACACACUGAAAGGCAUAAAGGACAUGGGUUUUACGCAUAUGACCGAAAUUCAGCAUAAAAGUAUUAAGCCCCUUCUGGAAGGCAGGGAUAUUUUAGCAGCUGCAAAAACAGGCAGUGGCAAGACACUUGCGUUUCUUAUUCCUGCAGUAGAGCUCAUCUACAAGUUAAAAUUCAUGCCCAGGAACGGAACGGGUGUUAUUAUUCUUUCUCCUACUCGAGAGCUUGCUAUGCAAACUUAUGGAGUUCUUAAAGAACUUAUGAACCAUCAUGUUCACACCUAUGGCCUGAUAAUGGGGGGCAGUAACAGAUCAGCAGAAGCACAGAAACUUGGAAAUGGAAUCAACAUCAUUGUAGCGACACCAGGAAGGCUGCUGGAUCAUAUGCAGAACACUCCAGGUUUCAUGUACAAGAACUUGCAGUGUUUGGUAAUUGAUGAGGCAGAUCGUAUCUUGGAGGUUGGAUUUGAAGAAGAAAUGAAACAGAUCAUAAAACUUCUACCAAAACGCAGACAGACGAUGCUUUUUUCUGCCACGCAAACCAGAAAGGUUGAAGAUCUGGCAAAGAUUUCUCUGAAGAAAGAGCCACUGUAUGUUGGGGUUGAUGAUAACAAGGAGACAGCAACAGUAGAUGGUCUUGAACAGGGGUAUGUAGUGUGUCCAUCUGAAAAAAGAUUCCUUUUGCUCUUCACAUUCCUCAAGAAGAACCGGAAGAAGAAAUUAAUGGUAUUCUUUUCUUCAUGUAUGUCAGUGAAGUACCAUUAUGAAUUACUCAACUAUAUUGAUCUGCCUGUUUUGGCCAUUCAUGGCAAGCAGAAACAAACCAAACGUACUACAACAUUUUUCCAGUUCUGUAACGCAGAAUCUGGGAUACUGCUGUGCACUGACGUGGCUGCCAGAGGACUGGAUAUUCCUGAAGUUGACUGGAUCGUCCAGUAUGACCCUCCAGAUGAUCCAAAAGAAUAUAUUCAUCGUGUUGGUAGAACUGCCAGAGGCAUAAAUGGUAGAGGACACGCUCUGCUCAUUUUACGACCAGAAGAACUGGGCUUUCUUCGUUACCUAAAACAAGCCAGGGUACCCUUAAGUGAAUUCGAAUUUUCGUGGUCAAAAAUUUCAGACAUCCAGUCUCAGCUGGAGAAACUGAUUGAGAAGAACUACUUCCUUCACAAGUCAGCCCAGGAAGCCUACAAAGCUUACAUUAGAGCUUAUGACUCCCAUUCUCUGAAGCAGAUCUAUGAUGUCAAUAACUUGGAUCUUCCCAAAGUCAGCCUCUCAUUUGGUUUUAAAGUUCCUCCAUUUGUCGACCUCAAUGUUAACAGCAACCAUGGCAGAAGACUGCAGAAGAGAGGUGGAGGUGGGGGAUUUGGUUACCAGAAAUCAAAGAACGUCCACAAAGCUAAAAUCUUCAAACACAUUAGCAAGAAAUCGGACAGUCGGCAAUUUUCUCGUUAAUCAUACAUUAAAACAGCUUCUGGCAUUGGAAUAGAUUACCUUGAUCAAGACCAUCUGACAGUUACUUACAAUUUAAACUGCUCUGUUAACAUUUUUAGGGGUCUUUAUGGUAUUGUUUCUGGGAUCAUCUUUUAUCUUUCACUUCAAGAAGACACUUUGGAAGGGAGACUGAAGAUAGGAAUGGAGAAUAUGGCCCUCUAAUUUUUUCAUACUUAGUUGUAAGGAAGAAGAUAGUUGAAUAUAUUUGUCUUAAGUCAGUAAUACAAAGCUUUUUAUUAAAGAAAAAAUACUUUAAGUUUUUAUGGAAGAAUUUGCUUUAUGUUUACCCUUUUUUCUAUGCACACCUCUGAAAAUUAUUGAAGUAGACAACACAAGGACAGAAUAUGGUGUGAGAUUAAAAAUAUUUGCUCACAUGAAUCAUUGCAAGGGUUUCUAAUGCUACAGAACUCUGCUUUGUCCAUCAAAUAUGCUGAAGAAUAUAGGAAGAUUCCUUUAAAACAACAUACCUAUGAAUAAUUAUGGCUUUAUGAGUUUGUGAUUAAUUUCAAUUAUGGUAUCUGUAUAACAAUUGACAGCAUCGAAGAUAAAAAAAUCUCUUACACCACAUCUGGCGCAUGUUUAAGGCUGUUUCUUUUAAUGUGAUAAAAUGGUAACA
Molecule: RNA transcript, 2638 nt
Organism: Calidris pugnax (ruff)
Lineage: Eukaryota; Metazoa; Chordata; Aves; Charadriiformes; Scolopacidae
Gene: DDX18
Gene name: DEAD (Asp-Glu-Ala-Asp) box polypeptide 18
Exons: 16
Source: RefSeq, a predicted model, not a curated record